GACGAACGCUGGCGGCGUGCCUAAUACAUGCAAGUAGAACGCUGAAGGAGGAGCUUGCUUCUCUGGAUGAGUUGCGAACGGGUGAGUAACGCGUAGGUAACCUGCCUGGUAGCGGGGGAUAACUAUUGGAAACGAUAGCUAAUACCGCAUAAGAGUAGAUGUUGCAUGACAUUUGCUUAAAAGGUGCAAUUGCAUCACUACCAGAUGGACCUGCGUUGUAUUAGCUAGUUGGUGGGGUAACGGCUCACCAAGGCGACGAUACAUAGCCGACCUGAGAGGGUGAUCGGCCACACUGGGACUGAGACACGGCCCAGACUCCUACGGGAGGCAGCAGUAGGGAAUCUUCGGCAAUGGACGAAAGUCUGACCGAGCAACGCCGCGUGAGUGAAGAAGGUUUUCGGAUCGUAAAGCUCUGUUGUAAGAGAAGAACGAGUGUGAGAGUGGAAAGUUCAC
Molecule: ribosomal RNA, 453 nt
Filed under: Streptococcus mitis
Lineage: Bacteria; Bacillati; Bacillota; Bacilli; Lactobacillales; Streptococcaceae
Description: bacterial SSU rRNA
Rfam family: Bacterial small subunit ribosomal RNA
Source: RNAcentral